ACGUAGGGUCCAAGCGUUAUCCGGAAUUACUGGGCGUAAAGAGUUGCGUAGGUGGCAUAGUAAGUAGAUAGUGAAAGCGUGUGGCUCAACCAUACAUCCAUUAUCUAAACUGCUAAGCUUGAGAACGAGAGAGGUAGAUGGAAUUCCUGGUGUAGGAGUAAUAUCCGUAGAUAUCAGGAGGAACACCGAUGGCGUAAGCAGUCUACUGGCUCGUUUCUGACACUAAGGCACGAAAGCGUGGGGAGCAAACAGGA
Molecule: ribosomal RNA, 254 nt
Filed under: uncultured prokaryote
Description: partial 16S ribosomal RNA
Rfam family: Bacterial small subunit ribosomal RNA
Source: RNAcentral